AUGGGGGAAACCCUGAUGCAGCAACGCCGCGUGAGGUAUGAAGGCCUUUGGGUGUGUGAAGCCUCUGUCCUAGGGGAAGAAAAAAAUGACGGUACCCGAGAGAAGCCCCGGCUAACUACGUGCCAGCAGCCGCGGUAAUACGUAGGGGGCAAGCGUUAUCCGGAAUUAUUGGGCGUAAAGAGUGCGUAGGUGGUCUACUAAGCGCGAGGUGAAAGGCAAUGGCUCAACCAUUGUUAGCCUUGUGAACUGGCAGACUUGAGUGCAAGAGAGGAAAGCGGAAUUCCUAGUGUAGCGGUGAAAUGCGCAGAUAUUAGGAGGAACACCGGCGGCGAAGGCGGCUUUCGGGAUUGUAACUGACACUGAGGCACGAAAGCGUGGGUAGCAAACAGGAUUAGAUACCUGGUAGUCCACGCCGUAAACGAUGAGCACUAGGUGUCGGGACAUGAGUCUCGGUGCCGCAGUUAACGCAAUAAGUGCUCCGCCUGGGGAGUACGCACGCCAGUGUAAAACUCAAAGGAAUUGACGGGGACCCGCACAAGCAGCGGAGCAUGUGGUUUAAUUCGAAGCACGCGA
RNAcentral lists this ribosomal RNA (573 nucleotides) under [Eubacterium] saphenum. Its description in RNAcentral is "bacterial SSU rRNA". It matches the Rfam family "Bacterial small subunit ribosomal RNA", at positions 371 to 964 of the family's 1533-position model. Lineage: Bacteria; Bacillati; Bacillota; Clostridia; Peptostreptococcales; Anaerovoracaceae. The record is from RNAcentral.